This is a long non-coding RNA of Drosophila miranda, 327 nucleotides long. RefSeq lists it as uncharacterized. Lineage: Eukaryota; Metazoa; Arthropoda; Insecta; Diptera; Drosophilidae. The transcript is spliced from 2 exons. The record is from RefSeq and is a predicted model, not a curated record.
UCAGUAUAUAAAUAGGCACCAUCCAGGCAACACAUAAAAAUCUAAAUUUUCUGUUUUCAACUAAUUUUAAGCAAAAAGUGUUUUUAGAUUUAAGUAUAAAGUGUAAAAAAAAAAAAAAAAAAAAAAAUGAAAAAAACAAAAAAAGGAAAAAAAACCCAUACAAAUACAGCACGUUGCAAACGACCAGUUCCAGUAGACAAUGGAUGGGUCAUACGUAUUGAACACAUAUACGUACAUAUGUACGGUACCACAGAGGAGAAGUACUUCUGUGGCGGGACGGCUCGAGUCUCAAGGCAGGCUGCGAUUGGUAACUGCUCAGUUUCAGUG